AUUUUAUUUAUUACGUUUAUAUAUGAAUUAGACCACAUAGAGUAUCAUAUCAAACCAGAUAUGAUCGAUAAGCGCGCAAUGCGUAAGAAACGAUGAUUCGCAACGAAGUCCUUCAAUGUGCACACUUCCGCCAGACGGGCUGUCGAUAAUUGGAAGUCGUUCCACUUCUUUGCCUUUGCCAACUCUCAUCUUGGAAUGCGACCGGUUACAGUGUGCAUGCCGACACGUUUCAUCGAGGUCUGCACGGCCAACCGUGUCGUAACACAGCAGGAAACGAAAAUAAGACAAGGAAAAAUAUCGGGGAAACUGAUAUCGAUUCGAUUCAAGAAUCCCAAUCCGAAAGCGUCUAGAUAUUACACCCAAAGGAAGCAAGAGGAUAGAAAAGGAAAAGGAAUAAUACUAAAAAAAGCUAACUGGAUCGGGCUCGAAAAAUCUCAGAUUGAGAAAUUCACGAAUAUCACUUUAUUUAUAAAAUUGCUAAAAUUGUAACUUUAAAGAAAAUUCCGCGUAAAAAACUAAUCAAAAAACAAAUGAAAAAAAAAUAAAAGAAACAAAAAAAAUUGCUUAUAUAAUAAAAUAAAAAAGAAUUAAAGAAAAAUA
This is a long non-coding RNA of Apis dorsata (giant honeybee), 600 nucleotides long. RefSeq lists it as uncharacterized. Lineage: Eukaryota; Metazoa; Arthropoda; Insecta; Hymenoptera; Apidae. The transcript is spliced from 2 exons. The record is from RefSeq and is a predicted model, not a curated record.